UGGCUCAGUUGGUAGAGCAUGGUGUUUGCGACGCCAGCAUGGUGUGUGCAACGCCAGGGUUGUGGGUUCGAUUCCCAC
RNAcentral lists this transfer RNA (78 nucleotides) under Salmo salar (Atlantic salmon). It matches the Rfam family "tRNA", at positions 8 to 63 of the family's 71-position model. Rfam says of the family: Transfer RNA (tRNA) molecules are approximately 80 nucleotides in length. Their secondary structure includes four short double-helical elements and three loops (D, anti-codon, and T loops). RNAcentral also lists the same sequence under 1 other name. The record is from Rfam by way of RNAcentral. Lineage: Eukaryota; Metazoa; Chordata; Actinopteri; Salmoniformes; Salmonidae.